Molecule: ribosomal RNA, 321 nt
Filed under: uncultured eukaryote
Lineage: Eukaryota
Description: partial 18S ribosomal RNA
Rfam family: Eukaryotic small subunit ribosomal RNA
Source: RNAcentral
CCCUUAGAUGUCCUGGGCCGCACGCGCGCUACACUGACAUGUUCAACAAGCCUCCUAGUUCGACAGGAUUUGGGAAAUCUUUGAACGCAUGUCGUGAUAGGGAUAGAUCAUUGCAAUUAUUGAUCUUGAACGAGGAAUUCCUAGUAAACGCGAGUCAUCAGCUCGCAUUGAUUACGUCCCUGUCCUUUGUACACACCGCCCGUCGCACCUACCGAUUGAAUGUUUCGGUGAAGAUUCCGGAUAGGACUUUUUUGAUUUAUUUCAAUUCUGUCUUAAAAGCUAUCUAAACCUCAACAUUUAGAGGAAGGUGAAGUCGUAACA